UCUAUAUACCACUCGUAGGUGGGGGGAAAAAAAAAGAAAAAAAAAAAAAAAUUAUGUUGACUACACAUAGAGCCGAUUCCUUCUGCCCUUACGUUUAGAGCCGUGGUGUCUCAUUUCUGACGACUUUACAGCGUCGUAAUUAAACAGUCGCGAAAACAAGGGAGGCUUGGUGCAGCCACCGGGACACUGUAAUUAACCGCUGCUUUCCUCUUUUUUCAGCUCUGCAGUUGACACAGCUUUUGUUUCUGCCGGGUCGCGGACACGGGGAUGAAAGUCACUUCUUCCACCCUGCACAGGAGGCCGACAAAAUGAUGACGGACGAGCAGAAACUCGCACGCACGAUUCGUUACGUCGUGGAAAAUCCGUUUGUGGCAAAUCAUUGUAAUCCCGUGUAAGGCUCCAUUUCCGGAGUUUCACCACUGACGUUCACUCGAAGUUUGAAAAAAAAUUGUCCUUUUAAAGCGAUACUAGAUCACUGAUCUCCCUCAACCUUCCUGCUUAAUCACAAUGCCAACCAAAUCUAGAGGGCCUCCCAAGGAAAGAAGCUGUUUAAAUAAUGUCAUGAAGCGCUCGUGUUUUGUAUGGCGUAACGCGGCAGCGUUGUGGAAAGAGGACCGAGGAAAGAGUCAAGGUGCGGGCGUCGGGCUAAUUGGCAUUGAUGAAUGACGAGUGCCGAUGACGCGUCGAAAUUAAUGGCGGCCCGACCCCGCCCUGCCCACCCCCCGCGGAGGGGCGAUAUGUUGCCGUGCCCGGCGAGGUGUCUUCCAGGUGGCGGUGUUAAUCCCUCGCAAUUAACGGCAGGAAUAACAUACUCGCGACUUAACGACGUGGAGUUGAUGGAACAUGUCCUGAGGGGUACUCCAGUUCAAAAUCCACCCCCACCUCAUUUUUUUGGAGCGUGAUCGUGCGGACGAAAAAGGAACGAGGCUCUUGCAAGACAUGUAUGAUGUGCAUGUCGCUUGUGAUGUGGCGUAUCAGUCUUAUCCCGGUAUUUGCUCUUUUUUUUUUUUUUUCAAGCAAUAACGUUUUUUCAACUCUUUUCAUCUUUGAAUGAGAAGACAAUACAAAGUGCCCUCACCCGAAAUGAGAAAAGUGCAUACAGGGUUAUUCAUCAGUCACGCACCAUCUGGCCAUGAGGGAGGUGGCCAUUUCAAAUUUUUGAAUUGCCCCCGCUACCCUCCCACAAAGGGGAUCAAAAAUUGAAAAGUACCUGCAAAAGUUUCCCCCUCGAUAUAAGGGAAAACGUCGUAAACCGCAAGUCUAUAUCAUAAUUAGAACUAAAGUCAUGGCCAGUUAUGCGUGACUUUUGAAUAAUCCUGUUUGUACAAUAUUUGGUGCAAUGCUAUAUCUAAAAUAUGGAUACAUCGUUAUACAAUCUGUACAGUAUAUAAGAAGACCUAUUCUAAUAGAUUCUGCCCUUGUAUAAUUUGUAUUUACAUGCUGAUUGUUCAUAACUUGAUCGUUUACAGUACCAUUGUUAUUCCCAGCACCGUCCGCUAAGACACCGGGGGCCGGUAUUUGUUUAGAUCCCGAUUUUUUCAAAACCUUGCGACAUCUCAACGAAUGACGCCAACCGAGGGCACCCUUCUGUUGUUGCAUUCGACGAACCCGCAUAUUCGUAUUUCAAAUAAUGUUAUAAUUUCGGUCGUUGUAUUUAAAUUCUUUUUUUUAUUAUUAUUAAGCAUUUAUUGUGAACUUCUACACUUUAGAAUUUUACACAUUGUAACUAAAUUUAAAAAUUGAAGUGGGUGUUGCAAACAAUAGAGUAGUUUACAUAAUUUAUAA
This is a non-coding RNA of Bemisia tabaci, 1785 nucleotides long. The record is from RefSeq and is a predicted model, not a curated record. NCBI's taxonomy places the organism in Eukaryota, Metazoa, Arthropoda, Insecta, Hemiptera, Aleyrodidae.